UUAAAAAGCUCGUAGUUGUAAACUGGGACAGAGCCUUCUUAACCCUAUCAAUUUGGGUUAUAAAGGAUGGAACGAGUUCUCUUAAAUGGUUUGAAUUAACGAAUAUCUCUAAUCUCAUUCUUUGGGUAUUAGAAUAUUUGUAUAAAUUGUAUCAUCAUAUUACCUUGAAGAAAUCAAAGCGCCUAAAGCAGGUAUUAGGCUAGAAUGAAUUAGCAUGGGAUAAUGUAAAAAGACUUUGAUCUUGAUUUGUUGGUUUCUACAAGCAAUGUACAUGAUUAAUAGGGAUAGUUGGGGCCACUUGUAUUGAACCGUCAGAGGUGAAAUUCUAGGACCGGUUCAAGACAAACUACUGCGAAAGCAUCUGGCAAGGAUGUUUUCAUUAAUCAAGAACGAAAGUUGCGGGCGCGAAGAUGAUCAGAUACCGUCGUAGUCGCAACUAUAAACUUUGUCGCCCAAGGGGUAGUGGUAGUUACAUGAUGACACCCCUAUAACUUUGUGAGAAAUCACAAGGAUUUGGACUCUGGGGGAAGUAUGGUCGCAAGGCUGAAACUUAAAGGAAUUGACGGAAGGGCACCACCAGGAGUGGAACCUGCGGCUUAAGACUCAACACGGGGAAACUUACCAGGUCCAGACACAAUAAGGAUUGACAGAUUGAUAGCUCUUUCUUGAUUCUGUGGAAAGUGGUGCAUGGCCGUUUUUAGUUGGUGGAUUGAUUUGUCUGGUUAAUUCCGUUAACGAACGAGACCUAAACCUACUAACUAGUUAAUGGUAACUUGGACUCUAAAUAGAGACCUCAUAUUUAUCCAAACUUCUUAGAGGGACUCUUUAUACUUAGUGAAUGGAAGUUUUAGGCAACAACAGGUCUGUGAUGCCCUUAGAUGUUCUGGGCCGCACGCGCGUUACAAUGAAAUGCUCAAUGAGCAAUAUCCCUUGCCCGUCGGGGCUUGGGAACCUGUGUAAAGUUUUUCAAGAUUGGGAUAGGUCAUUGUAAUUAUUGACCUUAAACGAGGAAUUCCUAG
This 1019-nucleotide ribosomal RNA is filed under the name Planocarina carinata. RNAcentral describes it as "SSU rRNA". It matches the Rfam family "Eukaryotic small subunit ribosomal RNA", at positions 619 to 1617 of the family's 1831-position model. Lineage: Eukaryota; Tubulinea; Elardia; Arcellinida; Hyalospheniidae. The record is from RNAcentral.